This 465-nucleotide ribosomal RNA is filed under the name Vreelandella stevensii. RNAcentral describes it as "partial 16S ribosomal RNA". It matches the Rfam family "Bacterial small subunit ribosomal RNA", at positions 338 to 795 of the family's 1533-position model. Lineage: Bacteria; Pseudomonadati; Pseudomonadota; Gammaproteobacteria; Oceanospirillales; Halomonadaceae. The record is from RNAcentral.
CCUACGGGAGGCUGCAGUGGGGAAUAUUGGACAAUGGGGGCAACCCUGAUCCAGCCAUGCCGCGUGUGUGAAGAAGGCCCUCGGGUUGUAAAGCACUUUCAGUGAGGAAGAACGCCUGGUGGUUAAUACCCAUCAGGAAAGACAUCACUCACAGAAGAAGCACCGGCUAACUCCGUGCCAGCAGCCGCGGUAAUACGGAGGGUGCGAGCGUUAAUCGGAAUUACUGGGCGUAAAGCGCGCGUAGGUGGCUUGAUAAGCCGGUUGUGAAAGCCCCGGGCUCAACCUGGGAACGGCAUCCGGACCUGUCAAGCUAGAGUGCAGGAGAGGAAGGUAGAAUUCCCGGUGUAGCGGUGAAAUGCGUAGAGAUCGGGAGGAAUACCAGUGGCGAAGGCGGCCUUCUGGACUGACACUGACACUGAGGUGCGAAAGCGUGGGUAGCAAACAGGAUUAGAUACCCUAGUAGUC